UACGAAGGGGGCUAGCGUCGCUCGGAAUCACUGGGCGUAAAGGGUGCGUAGGCGGGUCUUUAAGUCAGGGGUGAAAUCCUGGAGCUCAACUCCAGAACUGCCUUUGAUACUGAGGAUCUUGAGUUCGGGAGAGGUGAGUGGAACUGCGAGUGUAGAGGUGAAAUUCGUAGAUAUUCGCAAGAACACCAGUGGCGAAGGCGGCUCACUGGCCCGAUACUGACGCUGAGGCACGAAAGCGUGAGGAGCAAACAGG
Molecule: ribosomal RNA, 253 nt
Filed under: uncultured bacterium
Lineage: Bacteria
Description: partial 16S ribosomal RNA
Rfam family: Bacterial small subunit ribosomal RNA
Source: RNAcentral